This 69-nucleotide transfer RNA is filed under the name Chaca bankanensis (angler catfish). RNAcentral describes it as "tRNA-His". It matches the Rfam family "tRNA". From Rfam's summary of the family: Transfer RNA (tRNA) molecules are approximately 80 nucleotides in length. Lineage: Eukaryota; Metazoa; Chordata; Actinopteri; Siluriformes; Chacidae. The record is from RNAcentral.
GUGAAUAUAGUUUAACAAAAACAUUAGAUUGUGGUUCUAAAAAUAGAGGUUAAACCCCACUUAUUCUCC